CCUUCUUUUAAGUAUGUGCCAAGCUUGAAAUUGCAACACCAAACUAUCAAAAAGAGCCAAAAAAAAAAAAAUUACAAAGAGCCAAAAAAGUCAAAUGAACAAAAGAGCUGUGUUUACCGUCUUGUACUUCUGUUACUGAGAAAAAGAAGAUGGUGUGUUAAAAUCAUCUGAAAUGAAGCCAUGAAGAAAAUGUUAAUUAAAUGAAAGCAUCUGAAAUACAUCUGGCAGUUUAUCAAAUACAGUAUCCUGCUUUGUUAAAGCACAGGUAGCCAAGGCCAUGCUGUGACUGUAAUGCCUCUGCAAGCCCUCUGCCUGACGGCACUGAAACUCAUCUCAGAUCUCAAUGGCCUGUGUUAUUAUCAGAAGUCGUCCUCGAUUCCUUCAACCGUAAGAAAUUGCCUCAUCCACCCUAGCCUGAAUUGCUAUACUGCUUGAUCUAGACUUCUAGCCAGUCAUUUCUAGCUACCGUGAGUUAUAAUUAUUUAUAUAAAUGUUCUAAUUAGAUUAUCUACUAGGUGGUAAAGUUCUCCAAGGCAAGGCUUCUCAUUCAUUUUUGUUCGUACAACCUAAAAGAGCAUAGCACUAUUACUUAUUGGGUAAUAGUUCAAACUCUA
Molecule: long non-coding RNA, 614 nt
Filed under: Vulpes vulpes (red fox)
Lineage: Eukaryota; Metazoa; Chordata; Mammalia; Carnivora; Canidae
Description: lncRNA (ENSVVUG00000015178.1)
Source: RNAcentral